RNAcentral lists this ribosomal RNA (1596 nucleotides) under Solanum torvum (turkey berry). Its description in RNAcentral is "bacterial LSU rRNA". It matches the Rfam family "Bacterial large subunit ribosomal RNA", at positions 1195 to 2925 of the family's 2925-position model. Lineage: Eukaryota; Viridiplantae; Streptophyta; Magnoliopsida; Solanales; Solanaceae. The record is from RNAcentral.
CGCUGCCUCUUUAGCCCAGCAAUGGUCUACGGAGGCAAUGUUCUGACUGUGAAGCCGGGCCGUGAGGCAACCGGUGGAGUGAUCAGAAGUGAGAAUGUUGACAUGAGUAGCGACAAACAGGGUGAGAGACCCUGUCGCCGAAAGUCCAAGGGUUCCUGCUUAAAGCUAAUCUGAGCAGGGUAAGCCGGCCCCUAAGGCGAGGCCGAAAGGCGUAGUCGAUGGGAACCAGGUUAAUAUUCCUGGGCCAGGAGAUGGUGACGGAUCCCGAGGGUAGUUCGAUCUUAACGGAUUGAUCGGGCUGCUUAGGGGUCCCUGGAAAUAGCCCUCCACAAGACCGUACCCUAAACCGACACAGGUGGACUGGUAGAGAAUACCAAGGCGCUUGAGAGAACCACAUUUAAGGAACUCGGCAAAAUACCUCCGUAAGUUCGCGAGAAGGAGGCCCGGUUUUUGCGCAAGCAGAGGCCGGGGGCACAAACCAGGGGGUGGCGACUGUUUACUAAAAACACAGGGCUCUGCGAAGUCGUAAGACGACGUAUAGGGUCUGACGCCUGCCCGGUGCCGGAAGGUUAAAAGGAGAGGUGCAAGCCUUGAAUUGAAGCCCCGGUAAACGGCGGCCGUAACAAUAACGGUCCUAAGGUAGCGAAAUUCCUUGUCGGGUAAGUUCCGACCUGCACGAAUGGCGUAACGACUUCCCCGCUGUCUCAAAUGUGGACUCAGCGAAAUUGAAUUGUCUGUGAAGAUGCAGACUUCCCGCGGUUAGACGGAAAGACCCCAUGCACCUUUACUACAACUUCGCACUGGCAUCAGGAUUGCGAUGUGCAGGAUAGGCGGUAGGCUUUGAAGCGGGGACGCCAGUUCCCGUGGAGCCAUCCUUGAGAUACCGCCCUUCGCACUCUUGAUGUCUAACCGCGGCCCGUUAUCCGGGUCCGGGACCCUGCGUGGUGGGUAGUUUGACUGGGGCGGUCUCCUCCCAAAGCGUAACGGAGGAGCACGAAGGUUGGCUAAUCCUGGUCGGACAUCAGGAGGUUAGUGCAAUGGCAUAAGCCAGCUUGACUGCGAGAGUGACGGCUCGAGCAGGUGCGAAAGCAGGUCAUAGUGAUCCGGUGGUUCUGAAUGGAAGGGCCAUCGCUCAACGGAUAAAAGGUACUCCGGGGAUAACAGGCUGAUACCGCCCAAGAGUUCAUAUCGACGGCGGUGUUUGGCACCUCGAUGUCGGCUCAUCACAUCCUGGGGCUGUAGCCGGUCCCAAGGGUAUGGCUGGUCGCCAUUUAAAGUGGUACGUGAGCUGGGUUUAAAACGUCGUGAGACAGUUCGGUCCAUAUCCGGUGUGGGCGUUAGAGCAUUGAGAGGACCUUUCCCUAGUACGAGAGGACCGGGAAGGACGCACCUCUGGUGUACCAGUUAUCGUGCCCACGGUAAACGCUGGGUAGCCAAGUGCGGAGCGGAUAACUGCUGAAAGCAUCUAAGUAGUAAGCCCACCCCAAGAUGAGUGCUCUCCUAUUCCGACUUCCCCAGAGCUUCCGGUAGCACAGCUGAGACAGCGACGAGUUCUCUGCUCCUGUGGAAACACGAAAGCCUCGUUGACAGCUACGC